Non-coding RNA from Kluyvera ascorbata ATCC 33433, 108 nucleotides. The record is from Rfam. Lineage: Bacteria; Pseudomonadati; Pseudomonadota; Gammaproteobacteria; Enterobacterales; Enterobacteriaceae.
UUAUUGCCAUCUUCGAAUGUGCGCUGUAUCACUUCAAACCUGAGGCCAGGAUCAGUAUGAUGGGAUGAGAUGAACCCUUGCCGCUGGCGGUGAGGGUUUUCUUUUGGA